RNAcentral lists this ribosomal RNA (405 nucleotides) under uncultured bacterium. RNAcentral's name for it is "partial 16S ribosomal RNA". It matches the Rfam family "Bacterial small subunit ribosomal RNA", at positions 30 to 525 of the family's 1533-position model. The record is from RNAcentral.
AUUGAACGCUGGCGGCAGGCCUAACACAUGCAAGUCGAACGAGUGGCGGACGGGUGAGUAAUGUCUGGGAAACUGCCUGAUGGAGGGGGAUAAUUACCGGAAACGGUAGCUAAUACCGCAUACCAUUGGCGGUGCCCCGAUGGGAUUAGCCAGUAGGUGGGGUAACGGCUCACCUAGGCGACGAUCCCUAGCUGUUCUGAGAGGAUGACCAGCCCCACUGGAACUGAGCCACGGUCCAGGCUCCUACGGGAGGCAGCAGUGAGGAAUAUUGCACAGUGGGCGCAAGCCUGAUGCAGCCAGGCCGCGUGUAUGAAGAAGGCCUUCGGGUUGUAAAGUACUUUCAGCGGGGAGGCGUGACCCGCAGAAGAAGCACCGGCUAACUCCGUGCCAGCCGCCGCGGUAAUC